This 212-nucleotide unclassified non-coding RNA is filed under the name Hevea brasiliensis (rubber tree). The record is from RNAcentral. Lineage: Eukaryota; Viridiplantae; Streptophyta; Magnoliopsida; Malpighiales; Euphorbiaceae.
GGACCCUACUGAGUCUGGAUGCCAUGACUCGUAAAAAAACUAUUUGCUAGUAUAAUAAACUCCAUUAAUGUAAUUGAUAGUGAUAUUUAUUACAACCUUCACUGUUGUUGAUAGGUUGCUUGGACUAUAUUCACAUCUAAUUAAGCUAUUGAAACUUUCCAAGAAAACUGAAAUAAUUUUCUAGUUAGACUUUAUAGAUCUUUUUUAUGUGU